CCUACGGGUGGCUGCAGUGAGGAAUAUUGGUCAAUGGGCGAGAGCCUGAACCAGCCAAGUCGCGUGAGGGAGUACUGCCCUAUGGGUUGUAAACCUCUUUUGUCGGGGAGCAAAAGCCGGACGUUUCCGGCUGUUAUAUUACCCCAACAAAAAGCAUCGGCAAACUCCGUUCCAGUAGCCGCGGUAAUACGGAGGAUGCGAGCGUUAUCCGGAUUUUUUGGGUUUAAGGGGCGCGCUGGCGGAUUUUUACGUCAGCGGUAAAAUCGUGGGGCUCAACCCCAUCCCGCCGUUGAAACUGGGGAUCUAGAGGGUGCGAGAGGUAUGCGGAAUGCGUGGUGUAGCGGUGAAAUGCAUAGAUAUCACGCAGAACCCCGAUUGCGAAGGCAGCAUACCGGUGCACAACUGACGCUCAGGCACGAAAGCGUGGGUAUCGAACAGGAUUAGAUACCCGAGUAGUC
This 458-nucleotide ribosomal RNA is filed under the name uncultured bacterium. Its description in RNAcentral is "partial 16S ribosomal RNA". It matches the Rfam family "Bacterial small subunit ribosomal RNA", at positions 338 to 795 of the family's 1533-position model. The record is from RNAcentral.